GAUGAACGCUGGCGGCGUGCCUAAUACAUGCAAGUCGAGCGAACGGACGAGAAGCUUGCUUCUCUGAUGUUAGCGGCGGACGGGUGAGUAACACGUGGAUAACCUACCUAUAAGACUGGGAUAACUUCGGGAAACCGGAGCUAAUACCGGAUGAUAUUUUGAACCGCAUGGUUCAAAAGUGAAAGACGGUCUUGCUGUCACUUAUAGAUGGAUCCGCGCUGCAUUAGCUAGUUGGUAAGGUAACGGCUUACCAAGGCAACGAUGCAUAGCCGACCUGAGACGGUGAUCGGCCACACUGGAACUGAGACACGGUCCAGACUCCUACGGGAGGCAGCAGUAGGGAAUCUUCCGCAAUGGGCGAAAGCCUGACGGAGCAACGCCGCGUGAGUGAUGAAGGUCUUCGGAUCGUAAAACUCUGUUAUUAGGGAAGAACAUAUGUGUAAGUAACUGUGCACAUCUUGACGGUACCUAAUCAGAAAGCCACGGCUAACUACGUG
Molecule: ribosomal RNA, 497 nt
Filed under: uncultured bacterium
Lineage: Bacteria
Description: partial 16S ribosomal RNA
Rfam family: Bacterial small subunit ribosomal RNA
Source: RNAcentral